AAUAACUCUUGCUAAUUUUAUUUUCAUGAAAUAGUCAGUUGUGUGUAUGUUAUACAUUGUGUAUCAUUAAACUAUGUACAGCUUAAAUUGUGUUUAAUAGAAUUCCACAGUGUGUAGUUGAAGGUUAAUUUAUUCCAUUACCCACUUUUUCCCAUUUAUUACCUUGGGGGUCACUCAGCUGCUUCACACCUGACUUUUUGGACCCUUUCGAAAUUGACCACUGGUCUAAUUUCUCAUUUCCCCCAAGUCAUUAAAUGUAAUACAUCUACAUUUAUUUCUCUCUCCACCGUCAAUCUAACCCCCUUUAUCGUAGCCACCUGCUAUGAGAUGGAGCAACGCUUCAUACCCUUAUAGGAACUCAUCUGGUUCCGGUUGGUUGACGGAGUGUCCAUGUCCAUGGGGCUUGGUCCAUCUACACCAAGUGUCGUCGACAGGGCCUGGAGCUAAAUUUCCCUUAGCUGAGUACUUGACUCCCAAGGGCCAAAUUAUUUAUAUGUUUUAUUAAUAAAAAAUAGAAAUUAAAUAAUCUUGUUGUCAGCAGCAAACUCACUGAUAUAAUGUUUGGUCUUACUAGAUUCUCGGUUUCAAUCUUAUAGGGAUGUCUAUGUCUGAAGGUCACAUUAAAUGUCAGUUUGUCAACACUUCAGGAGUAUGUUAAGAAAUAAGUUACAGUACAGGGUAUAAAAGAACACCAGAGAACACCUAAACAAGAGAGCUACAAAUACAGGGUAUAAAAUAAUCACCCAGAACACCUCUUAAAAAGAGGAGUUCUCAAAAGGUCACAGUUUACUGAAUCAUGAGGAACACCUAAACAAGAGGCAACCAGCUAAACAAGGUACAUGAAUCAUUAUCAAUGAACCACAGAAAAUAGAUAACAGACUUAACAAUGAAUAAGUCAUCACUUGCUGUAUCCGUCGUUCGUCAAUGUCAUGGUUACUUCUGUUAAGUUGUGGAUUUCAGUCGUUCGGUUAUAUCUCUAAGUCCCUGGAGUCAUAAAAUAAAUAGAAGCUUAUAUUAUGUAAAUAUAAGCGCUGUUUAUUUAAUGACAUCAUAAUCUGCAUGGGUGUAGCACAGGUUUUGGUACUGAUAAUCCCCUGGACUACAGUCUACAUGAUCACUCCUUAUUUGGUUAUAAGGCAAGGAGUGAUACAUUCCAUUCUCAAAUUUCACAAGGAUGCUAGGUAGUUGGUCAUUUUGAGUUUUGCUGCUGACAGGGAAAGUCAAACAUAAGUUGUCAUAAAGUUACAAAAUACCCACCCACCUCCCUUUAAUCAACUUCAACUACUCACUGUAUAUGGGAGCAGUCUCAGCAAACCAGUGGUUUUCUUCAAUUUCAAAACUCCCUUUCGAAAUUGACCACUGGUCUAAUUUCUCAUUUCCCCCAAGUCAUUAAAUGUAAUACAUCUACAUUUAUUUCUCUCUCCACCGUCAAUCUAACCCCCUUUAUCGUAGCCACCUGCUAUGAGAUGGAGCAACGCUUCAUACCCUUAUAGGAACUCAUCUGGUUCCGGUUGGUUGACGGAGUGUCCAUGUCCAUGGGGCUUGGUCCAUCUACACCAAGUGUCGUCGACAGGGCCUGGAGCUAAAUUUCCCUUAGCUGAGUACUUGACUCCCAAGGGCCAAAUUAUUUAUAUGUUUUAUUAAUAAAAAAUAGAAAUUAAAUAAUCUUGUUGUCAGCAGCAAACUCACUGAUAUAAUGUUUGGUCUUACUAGAUUCUCGGUUUCAAUCUUAUAGGGAUGUCUAUGUCUGAAGGUCACAUUAAAUGUCAGUUUGUCAACACUUCAGGAGUAUGUUAAGAAAUAAGUUACAGUACAGGGUAUAAAAGAACACCAGAGAACACCUAAACAAGAGAGCUACAAAUACAGGGUAUAAAAUAAUCACCCAGAACACCUCUUAAAAAGAGGAGUUCUCAAAAGGUCACAGUUUACUGAAUCAUGAGAAACACCUAAACAAGAGGCAAC
Molecule: long non-coding RNA, 1962 nt
Filed under: Mytilus galloprovincialis (Mediterranean mussel)
Lineage: Eukaryota; Metazoa; Mollusca; Bivalvia; Mytilida; Mytilidae
Source: RNAcentral